CCCAAUGCGUGUUUGUUUAUCUACUAGCAUAUUUUUGUUGAAACCUUUAUUUUAAGUAGGUGGUUUAUGCUUUUACAAGCUGUAUUGCAUCGCUAUGCUGAGGUUGACGAUCAUCUUCAAAGUUGGUGGCAUUUACUGCUGCCCAAUAAACUCUUUUGUCCCCAAAAGAGAUAUGCAGCUAAAUGUAAAAUUUUACCAGAACACCGUUUUAAUAUCUUUGCAGCGAAAGAUGAAAUAGUUUCAGAGCUGGCCAGUGCUCGUAGGGUAAUCCCUUCACGCUCACACUACCUACCACCGCACCAUGGAAGAGCCACGACGGGUUUCCUCUUCCAUCGUCGACGGUUGCCUGUGCCGUUAUGAGUUCCCGGAUUGAUUCUCCAGGAUUUCUAUGAAGUCGCGCCACCGACUCAACGUUGACUUUACAAUUCUUGCAGGCCGUGGCGUACAAAGCCAUAAAGCCACUCGAAUUAAAAGCCAAGUUGGUCCGUGCUUUUUCAACUUCAAUGAAAAACCCUUUGAACCUAAAAAGAACAAACAUGUAUAAAAUUUAAUAAAUAUCACAAAAUA
Molecule: long non-coding RNA, 567 nt
Organism: Uranotaenia lowii
Lineage: Eukaryota; Metazoa; Arthropoda; Insecta; Diptera; Culicidae
Exons: 4
Source: RefSeq, a predicted model, not a curated record